AGAGUUUGAUCAUGGCUCAGAACGAACGCUGGCGGCGCGCCUAACACAUGCAAGUCGCGGGAGAAACGUCCUUUGGGCCGAGUAAACCGGCGGACGGGUGAGUAACACGUGAGUAACAUGCCGUUGAGACGGGGAUAACGAUCCGAAAGGGUUGCUAAUACCGGAUAAAACGACUGAACCGGGAGGUUACAGUCGUCAAAGGUCAAAGCUACGCUCAACGAUUGGCUCGCGGCCCAUUAGGUAGAUGGUACGGUAAGGGCGUACCAUGCCGACGAUGGGUAGCUGGUCUGAGAGGAUGAUCAGCCACACUGGGACUGAGACACGGCCCAGACUCCUACGGGAGGCAGCAGUGGGGAAUCUUGUGCAAUGGGGGCAACCCUGACACAGCGACGCCGCGUGUGUGAAGAAGGCCUUCGGGUUGUAAAGCACUGUCAGGAGGGAAGAAACCCGGCGAGUCCGGCGUGACGGUACCUCCACAGGAAGCACCGGCCAACUCCGUGCCAGCAGCCGCGGUAAUACGGAGGGUGCAAGCGUUGUUCGGAAUCAUCGGGCGUAAAGCGUAGGUAGGCGGCCAGGCAAGUCUGAUGUGAAAGCCCAGAGCUCAACUCUGGAGGCGCAUUGGAAACUGUUUGGCUUGAGUCCGGGAAGGGCCAGUGGAAUUCGUGGUGUAGGGGUGAAAUCCGUAGAUAUCACGAAGAACACCGGCGGCGAAAGCGACUGGCUGGACCGGAACUGACGCUCAGCUACGAAAGCGU
Molecule: ribosomal RNA, 755 nt
Filed under: uncultured bacterium
Lineage: Bacteria
Description: bacterial SSU rRNA
Rfam family: Bacterial small subunit ribosomal RNA
Source: RNAcentral